GUGCUCUUUUAAGGUUGACACAGUGCCUAGGAGGCUAACACAGAAGGGUAAAGUAAAUCUCCAUAAAACCCAGAGAAGAGAUGGUAAAACUGGAGUCACAGCU
Molecule: small nucleolar RNA, 103 nt
Organism: Myotis lucifugus (little brown bat)
Lineage: Eukaryota; Metazoa; Chordata; Mammalia; Chiroptera; Vespertilionidae
Source: Ensembl